GACGAACGCUGGCGGCGUGCUUAACACAUGCAAGUCGAACGGUAAGGCCCUUCGGGGUACACGAGUGGCGAACGGGUGAGUAACACGUGGGUGAUCUGCCCUGCACUUCGGGCUAAGCCUGGGAAACUGGGUCUAUUACCGGCUAGGACUCCUGGCUUCAUGGUUGGCGGGGGCAAGCUUUUGCGGUGUGGGAUGGGCACGCGGCCUAUCAGCUUGUUGGUGGGGUAAUGGCCUAUCAAGGCGACGACGGGUAGCCGGCCUGAGAGGGUGACCGGUCACACGGGGACUGAGAUACGGCCCAGACUCCUACGGGAGGCAGCAGUGGGGAAUAUUGCACAAUGGGCGCAAGCCUGAUGCAGCGACGCCGCGUGAGGGAUGACGGCCUUCGGGUUGUAAACCUCUUUCAGCUAUGACGAAGCGCAAGUGACGGUAGUAGCAGAAGAAGGACUGGCCAACUACGUGCCAGCCGCCGCGGUAA
RNAcentral lists this ribosomal RNA (478 nucleotides) under uncultured bacterium. RNAcentral describes it as "partial 16S ribosomal RNA". It matches the Rfam family "Bacterial small subunit ribosomal RNA", at positions 28 to 523 of the family's 1533-position model. The record is from RNAcentral.